Molecule: ribosomal RNA, 1534 nt
Filed under: Escherichia coli
Lineage: Bacteria; Pseudomonadati; Pseudomonadota; Gammaproteobacteria; Enterobacterales; Enterobacteriaceae
Description: bacterial SSU rRNA
Rfam family: Bacterial small subunit ribosomal RNA
Source: RNAcentral
UUGAAGAGUUUGAUCAUGGCUCAGAUUGAACGCUGGCGGCAGGCCUAACACAUGCAAGUCGAACGGUAACAGGAAGAAGCUUGCUUCUUUGCUGACGAGUGGCGGACGGGUGAGUAAUGUCUGGGAAACUGCCUGAUGGAGGGGGGAUAACUACUGGAAACGGUAGCUAAUACCGCAUAACGUCGCAAGACCAAAGAGGGGGACCUUCGGGCCUCUUGCCAUCGGAUGUGCCCAGAUGGGAUUAGCUAGUAGGUGGGGUAACGGCUCACCUAGGCGACGAUCCCCUAGCUGGUCUGAGAGGAUGGCCAGCCACACUGGAACUGAGACACGGUCCAGACUCCUACGGGAGGCAGCAGUGGGGAAUAUUGCACAAUGGGCGCAAGCCUGAUGCAGCCAUGCCGCGUGUAUGAAGAAGGCCUUCGGGUUGUAAAGUACUUUCAGCGGGGAGGAAGGGAGUAAAGUUAAUACCUUUGCUCAUUGACGUUACCCGCAGAAGAAGCACCGGCUAACUCCGUGCCAGCAGCCGCGGUAAUACGGAGGUGCAAGCGUUAAUCGGAAUUACUGGGCGUAAAGCGCACGCAGGCGGUUUGUUAAGUCAGAUGUGAAAUCCCGGGCUCAACGGGAACUGCAUCUGAUACUGGCAAGCUUGAGUCUCGUAGAGGGGUAGAAUUCCAGGUGUAGCGGUGAAAUGCGUAGAGAUCUGGAGGAAUACCGGUGGCGAAGGCGGCCCCCUGGACGAAGACUGACGCUCAGGUGCGAAAGCGUGGGGAGCAAACAGGAUUAGAUACCCUGGUAGUCCACGCCGUAAACGAUGUCGACUUGGAGGUUGUGCCCUUGAGGCGUGGCUUCCGGAGCUAACGCGUUAAGUCGACCGCCUGGGGAGUACGGCCGCAAGGUUAAAACUCAAAUGAAUUGACGGGGGCCCGCACAAGCGGUGGAGCAUGUGGUUUAAUUCGAUGCAACGCGAAGAACCUUACCUGGUCUUGACAUCCACAGAACUUUCCAGAGAUGGAUUGGUGCCUUCGGGAACUGUGAGACAGGUGCUGCAUGGCUGUCGUCAGCUCGUGUUGUGAAAUGUUGGGUUAAGUCCCGCAACGAGCGCAACCCUUAUCCUUUGUUGCCAGCGGUCCGGCCGGGAACUCAAAGGAGACUGCCAGUGAUAAACUGGAGGAAGGUGGGGAUGACGUCAAGUCAUCAUGGCCCUUACGACCAGGGCUACACACGUGCUACAAUGGCGCAUACAAAGAGAAGCGACCUCGCGAGAGCAAGCGGACCUCAUAAAGUGCGUCGUAGUCCGGAUUGGAGUCUGCAACUCGACUCCAUGAAGUCGGAAUCGCUAGUAAUCGUGGAUCAGAAUGCCACGGUGAAUACGUUCCCGGGCCUUGUACACACCGCCCGUCACACCAUGGGAGUGGGUUGCAAAAGAAGUAGGUAGCUUAACCUUCGGGAGGGCGCUUACCACUUUGUGAUUCAUGACUGGGGUGAAGUCGUAACAAGGUAACCGUAGGGGAACCUGCGGUUGGAUCACCUCCUU